GCGGUUCGUAUCCCGACGUGGCGUCGGUGGUUGAUGCAGCCAGCCGACAUUUUCUCGACUGGUAAUGACUGCUUCACAUGCCUUCUCGAGCGUCACAGCCAGCUUUCCACGUCCAGGCUGACUCGUGGCGGACAAGGGAAACCAAGGAAACACGCUUUCAUCGGUCAAGGACUUCCAGAAAGGCUUUAACCAGACAUGGAAUUUGGAACCUCGGCAUUUUGGCGCCCACCGCAUUUCGCAGAUGUGCACAUGCCGCGAGAGCAACUCGUCUGGGAGCCUGCAUCCGCACUUUAUGCAUCAAGACGAAGUCAUAUGACGGACCAAGGAAAGACAGCAAACAAGUUUUAAUUGGACAAGGACUGCCACAGAGGCUUUAUCCAAGCAUGGACUUUGAAAUCUGACACCAACCACAUCUCUUGCAUGUGGGCAUGCUGCGAAAGAAACUGGUCAUGGUGGCUAAAUGAACGCUUUCUGGAAAACGGAAAGACUCGUAUUUCAAGACGAUCACGUUGAGCGCGCGUAACAUCUGUUUUGACAGUAUAGUAUUUCCUGCAACGGCCACAGACAAGUGCUUCCGUGCUUCUUUUUAGACUUUUAGACAUGACGUGCCCGCAAAUGCGCAGCCGAAGUUUUAAAACCUGCGUGCCAUCAACGUUCUGUUUCGGCACACAGCAGAGGCCACACAUUAAAUUUGAAAUAAAAAUAUGCUGCCUCUUU
Molecule: non-coding RNA, 717 nt
Organism: Dermacentor albipictus
Lineage: Eukaryota; Metazoa; Arthropoda; Arachnida; Ixodida; Ixodidae
Source: RefSeq, a predicted model, not a curated record